AAAAGAGUUACAACUCCAAAACCAUUGUGAACCCACCUAAAAUCGUUGCUUCGGCGGGCGGCCACCACCCUAGUUCUCUAGGGGGUGUGCCUACCCACGACCCGCCAACGGCGGGCGCCCGCCGUAGGUACAUAUAUAACACGUCUCUCUGUGUGACCUCUCUGAGUCUUCUAUACCGAAUCGGUAA
This 187-nucleotide unclassified non-coding RNA is filed under the name uncultured Ascomycota. RNAcentral's name for it is "sequence contains ITS1". The record is from RNAcentral. Lineage: Eukaryota; Fungi; Ascomycota.